This 904-nucleotide long non-coding RNA is filed under the name Triticum aestivum (bread wheat). Its description in RNAcentral is "long non-coding RNA (TAES_LNC005613)". Lineage: Eukaryota; Viridiplantae; Streptophyta; Magnoliopsida; Poales; Poaceae. The record is from RNAcentral.
CUGCCCAUUCUUCUUCUCCAUUUUUGAAAGCCUCGCCGGAGCUCACAAGCAUAUGUUCAUACAUGUCUCAGCGUAGCUCCACACCACACCGCCAACCAGUUGCCCCCGCUCCCUCUCAUACGCUGCCCCAAACGCAACGCAAGCUACAUAAUCUGGCAUGUCUCAGGAAAGGAAGAAAACCCAGGGAGUCAUUUCUACAAGUGUGAACUCCAUGGAGUAAGUUUCUCAACACCCUUUCCAUCCGUCUUCUUCAUUCUGGGCUAAUUUCUUCGUUUACGUCAGAGCAUGAAGGAUGCAAUUUCUGGAAGUGGGAGAACAAGUACAUAUAGUACUUCAGUUCGGGGCCAUCUGAUUUCGCAUGCAUCGGUCCAUCGCCACGUCCCGCUUCUCGAACAGAAUCAAACAUUGGUGAAGAACAUUUUCAUCCUAGGCCUUGUGAACCUGCUGGCCAUGGCCAUCAUCUUCAUGCAGAAACUCUGAAGCUUAGGGCCUCUGCGAAGGGAGUGCGGCAGAUUUCAUACGUAUUUCUUUUACUUUUGCAUGUUUUGCAUGCAUGUAUCUGUUAGUAUGUGUUGCUUUUUCAUAUGGGCAGACAGUUGGCUUAUCAAUAAUACAUCUCCAACGGUUGUGUGAAUGUAGCCCCAUCAUGGCAAGUCGUAUUUGAGCUAUACGUUAUUAAUUGAACCGUGACCACGAGACACACUGCAAAACAAAUGCAAAUACACACUGACGUCAUUGAUGCUCUGCGUUACGUGUGCACCACAAUCACCAGUGGACAAGAGUUUAAUGAGACCCAGUCCCCCCUGCGCGCAUUAAUUCGACGCUGCUAUCCUCCAGUCUGAUCAUGACACCCAGCAUGAAUUAAUUUGCCAUCAACACAUCGGGUCUUCAAGAGCACGACGGC